ACUCCUACGGGAGGCAGCAGUGGGGAAUAUUGGACAAUGGGCGAAAGCCUGAUCCAGCAAUGCCGCGUGUGUGAAGAAGGCCUUCGGGUUGUAAAGCACUUUUGUCCGGAAAGAAAUCCUUGGCUCUAAUACAGUCGGGGGAUGACGGUACCGGAAGAAUAAGCACCGGCUAACUACGUGCCAGCAGCCGCGGUAAUACGUAGGGUGCAAGCGUUAAUCGGAAUUACUGGGCGUAAAGCGUGCGCAGGCGGUUUGCUAAGACCGAUGUGAAAUCCCCGGGCUCAACCUGGGAACUGCAUUGGUGACUGGCAGGCUAGAGUAUGGCAGAGGGGGUAGAAUUCCACGUGUAGCAGUGAAAUGCGUAGAGAUGUGGAGGAAUACCGAUGGCGAAGGCAGCCCCCUGGGCCAAUACUGACGCUCAUGCACGAAAGCGUGGGGAGCAAA
RNAcentral lists this ribosomal RNA (444 nucleotides) under uncultured bacterium. Its description in RNAcentral is "bacterial SSU rRNA". It matches the Rfam family "Bacterial small subunit ribosomal RNA", at positions 335 to 772 of the family's 1533-position model. The record is from RNAcentral.